UGUUUGAAUCAAAGGUGUGGAGUGGGUAUGGAGGGUAAUAGGCAUUUCAGUUAUCCUCAUCCAUCGACUUCCUUUCUAGAUGAUAACUACUCCCUCCGUCCAUCAAUAAUCGUCUCAUUUUGUCAGUUUCGUUCGUCCGCCAAUAAAUGUCUCAUUUGUUUUUUUACUACUUCUGGUAAUGGAGAUCACAUUUCACUAACUUCAUCUCACUCACAUUUUAUUAUAAAACUAAUAUAUAAAAGCAGGAUUCACGUUCCAGUAUCUUUUUCCAUUACAUUUCUUAAAACCCGAGUCAGUUCUUUCUGCACCCUUCUACACUUGCACCAUUGUUGCUUGCGAUUUUUUUCCGUGUGCGAACGAAUUCCAAGAAAAAUUAUCCGUCCCAAUCAUAGUCCGGGAUACGAAGUCCAUACCUAUUGCCUCCGAGAAGGAAGUUCGCAUGUCAUCGAGAAAAUUCAAUCCGAAAACACAGAAGCUUGCAAUUGAGAAUUUUCACAAGCAACCUUUGAUCCUAGUUGGUGAUGAGGAAGAGGAUCAUAAUUAUAAUUACAAUUAACACACUAGUGUGCGAUAUAUGCAUACAAACCAUUACUAUUCCAUCUCGAUUUUACAGAUGCUCUCAACAAACUAGCGGCUGCUCUUUCCUUGCUCAUAAAGUGUGUUAAGAGCUUCUCCCCAUUAUCAAGUUUGGGAUUCCAAUUGGUGACGACAGCCAAAUGGUUAUUUAGUUCAAUAUUUUACUCAUUUACUGUAUUGUCUCAAUAUUUUACUGUAUUGUCUGCUUUCUUCCUGGCAAUGCAGCUUGCUUCUACUUUCAAGUUUGGAGUCAAAUUUAGAAUAUUGCUUUCUCA
Salvia hispanica is the source of this 851-nucleotide long non-coding RNA. RefSeq lists it as uncharacterized. The record is from RefSeq and is a predicted model, not a curated record. Lineage: Eukaryota; Viridiplantae; Streptophyta; Magnoliopsida; Lamiales; Lamiaceae.